GGGGCCUUAGCUCAGCUGGGAGAGCACCUGCUUUGCACGCAGGAGGUCAGCGGUUCGAUCCCGCUAGGCUCCACCU
RNAcentral lists this transfer RNA (76 nucleotides) under Caldibacillus debilis. RNAcentral's name for it is "tRNA-Ala". It matches the Rfam family "tRNA". Rfam says of the family: Transfer RNA (tRNA) molecules are approximately 80 nucleotides in length. Their secondary structure includes four short double-helical elements and three loops (D, anti-codon, and T loops). The record is from RNAcentral. RNAcentral also lists the same sequence under 2 other names. Lineage: Bacteria; Bacillati; Bacillota; Bacilli; Caryophanales; Bacillaceae.